GCCAAUAUAUGCUAUCUGUAGAAAGAAAAUAGAGGGUAUAAAUUAGAAUCUAAAGCAAACACUUAUAUUAGAGAUAUAAAACUCUUCUUGAGGCACUUGUGGAGUAGUUUUCUGACAUGGUAUUAAAACCUGUCAAACAAAAAGAAACAGAAUUCGAAUCUUGGCUGCCCCAACCGAUUGAUUAAACAUUUAAGCACAAGGUAAAAUGAGCAUAUCCUUGCUUACAAUUCAAGCCUAGUGGGAUUUGUAUGUGGGGAUGUAUUAGAAAUUUAAAACUAUUCUUAGGAAUCUCACCUAUAAAUUUGAGCUUUUACGUUGAGUAGUUUUUUGACAACUUAUAGUAGCAAAUAAGAACCCAUAUUUUCAUUCAAGCUUACACAAAGAAGUUGAAGAUAUUAUAAUGAAGCAUAAAAUUUUUUACAUGCUAAACUUAUACUCAAACCAGCAAGAAAUUAUAAUUUUCAGCAGUUAUUCCACGUAAGCAUUCACAUGGAAUGACAAGCCAAUAAAAAAUGGACACGUAGAGCGAUUAUAAGUUUAUCCACUUGUCCAUAUAUGUGCAUUCUCUGUUGGCCUGCCAUUCUAUGUAAGUUAUCCUACAUGGAAUCACAGAUGUACAACAUAGUUUCUCCAAACUAGAAAUUUGUAGACCUGCAACACAUUUGAAGACCUGCCUGGCCCACAAAAGUGCAAAUCAUGUGCUAACCUACCAGUCCAGACUUCACUUAGGCCCAUAAUAAAGCAGGCUGGGCAUGGAAUUGAUGAUUGAUGGAAUUGAAGAUAUUUUCCUUCAAUUCAAGGGAUAUGAAUGAGAAAAUCAGGUGAUUGAUUAGCAAAAUCAUUGGUUUGAUUAAUGCUUAUAUAAAG
This 867-nucleotide unclassified non-coding RNA is filed under the name Hevea brasiliensis (rubber tree). Lineage: Eukaryota; Viridiplantae; Streptophyta; Magnoliopsida; Malpighiales; Euphorbiaceae. The record is from RNAcentral.